This 1366-nucleotide ribosomal RNA is filed under the name uncultured bacterium. RNAcentral's name for it is "bacterial SSU rRNA". It matches the Rfam family "Bacterial small subunit ribosomal RNA", at positions 28 to 1381 of the family's 1533-position model. The record is from RNAcentral.
GACGAACGCUGGCGGCGUGCCUAAUACAUGCAAGUAGAACGCUGAAGGAGGAGCUUGCUUCUCCGGAUGAGUUGCGAACGGGUGAGUAACGCGUAGGUAACCUGCCUGGUAGCGGGGGAUAACUAUUGGAAACGAUAGCUAAUACCGCAUAACAGUAGAUGUUGCAUGACAUUUGCUUGAAAGGUGCAAUUGCAUCACUACCAGAUGGACCUGCGUUGUAUUAGCUAGUUGGUGGGGUAACGGCUCACCAAGGCGACGAUACAUAGCCGACCUGAGAGGGUGAUCGGCCACACUGAGACUGAGACACGGCCCAGACUCCUACGGGAGGCAGCAGUAGGGAAUCUUCGGCAAUGGACGGAAGUCUGACCGAGCAACGCCGCGUGAGUGAAGAAGGUUUUCGGAUCGUAAAGCUCUGUUGUAAGAGAAGAACGAGUGUGAGAGUGGAAAGUUCACACUGUGACGGUAUCUUACCAGAAAGGGACGGCUAACUACGUGCCAGCAGCCGCGGUAAUACGUAGGUCCCGAGCGUUGUCCGGAUUUAUUGGGCGUAAAGCGAGCGCGGCGGUUAGAUAAGUCUGAAGUUAAAGGCUGUGGCUUAACCAUAGUACGCUUUGGAAACUGUUUAACUUGAGUGCAAGAGGGGAGAGUGGAAUUCCAUGUGUAGCGGUGAAAUGCGUAGAUAUAUGGAGGAACACCGGUGGCGAAAGCGGCUCUCUGGCUUGUAACUGACGCUGAGGCUCGAAAGCGUGGGGAGCAAACAGGAUUAGAUACCCUGGUAGUCCACGCCGUAAACGAUGAGUGCUAGGUGUUAGACCCUUUCCGGGGUUUAGUGCCGUAGCUAACGCAUUAAGCACUCCGCCUGGGGAGUACGACCGCAAGGUUGAAACUCAAAGGAAUUGACGGGGGCCCGCACAAGCGGUGGAGCACGUGGUUUAAUUCGAAGCAACGCGAAGAACCUUACCAGGUCUUGACAUCCCUCUGACCGCUCUAGAGAUAGAGUUUUCCUUCGGGACAGAGGUGACAGGUGGUGCAUGGUUGUCGUCAGCUCGUGUCGUGAGAUGUUGGGUUAAGUCCCGCAACGAGCGCAACCCCUAUUGUUAGUUGCCAUCAUUUAGUUGGGCACUCUAGCGAGACUGCCGGUAAUAAACCGGAGGAAGGUGGGGAUGACGUCAAAUCAUCAUGCCCCUUAUGACCUGGGCUACACACGUGCUACAAUGGCUGGUACAACGAGCCGCAAGCCGGUGACGGCAAGCUAAUCUCUUAAAGCCAGUCUCAGUUCGGAUUGUAGGCUGCAACUCGCCUACAUGAAGUCGGAAUCGCUAGUAAUCGCGGAUCAGCACGCCGCGGUGAAUACGUUCCCGGGCCU